CGAUUGUGGUUAUUGGAGCGGC
This 22-nucleotide non-coding RNA is filed under the name Arabidopsis thaliana (thale cress). The record is from RNAcentral. Lineage: Eukaryota; Viridiplantae; Streptophyta; Magnoliopsida; Brassicales; Brassicaceae.